GCUUUCGUGGUGUAGUGGUCAGCACGCUCGAUGAUACUCGAGAGGUGAGUGGUUCGAGUCCCGGUGAGGGCA
Molecule: transfer RNA, 72 nt
Filed under: Stegodyphus mimosarum
Lineage: Eukaryota; Metazoa; Arthropoda; Arachnida; Araneae; Eresidae
Rfam family: tRNA
About the family: Transfer RNA (tRNA) molecules are approximately 80 nucleotides in length. Their secondary structure includes four short double-helical elements and three loops (D, anti-codon, and T loops).
Source: Rfam by way of RNAcentral